UACGUAGGUGGCAAGCGUUGUUCGGAAUUACUGGGCGUAAAGCGCGUGUAGGCGGCUCUUCAAGUCAGACGUGAAAGCCCCGGGCUUAACUCGGGAACUGCGUUUGAUACUGUCGAGCUAGAGUGUGGAAGGGGCGAUUGGAAUUCCGUGUGUAGCGGUGAAAUGCGUAGAUAUCCGGAGGAACACCAGGGGCGAAGGCGGAUCGCUGGGCCAACACUGACGCUGAGGCGCGAAAGCGUGGGGAGCAAACAGG
Molecule: ribosomal RNA, 253 nt
Filed under: uncultured bacterium
Lineage: Bacteria
Description: partial 16S ribosomal RNA
Rfam family: Bacterial small subunit ribosomal RNA
Source: RNAcentral